AUUUCUUCCUCCCUCCAGCGCCUGGCAACCACCAUUCUGCUUUCUCCGCCUCUCUCUCUCUCUCUCUCUCUCUCUCUCUCUCUCUCUCUCUUUCUCUCUCUUUUUUUUUUAGCUGCUUGGCAAAUAAGUUUAUUAUUGUCUUUAUCUGAAAACUCUUCAUAGAAAAUUGUGUUUGGUUUAUUAGCUCUCAGCAGCCCGCUCCUGGGCUCGAAGGAAGCUUGCCUUCUUCUGAGCCACCGGAUCUUUCUUCUGGGCAAGAGACGUCUUAGGACGGUUCCACCUCUUCUUUUUAACUUCUUUCUUAGGCUUCUUCUCAUAGACUGGAUUCUCUCGUAUGGCACCUCCUCCAUCAUGUCUGGGUAACGGUCUUUAUGUAUUGAGAGAACUGUUUCCUGUAAGCAUCUUCAUCCUCUCCCAUUAGACUAUAAAGCGAUUGGCAAAAUAGGAGAGGGAACAUUUUCCAAAAUUAUGAAGAUGCAGAGCCUGAGAGACAGAAGCUACGACGCUUGUAAGCAAAUGAAACAGCACUUUGAAAGCAGGAGGCACACUGACUCUGGGCUCGAGGUCGCUGUUAUUCUGAUGAGGACUCUGUAGUUCCCGCUGUUUGACGUACGGAAUCCGUGACAGGGCCUCCAGCUGGUUUGACAGGUACCGGCCAGCCUGUGUCAUCCAGACCGGAGAGGAACUGGACUUCGGGUUUAUUCAUGUCACGCUGCGCCCAUCGGACAAGCGAAAACAGAUCUGCCUCGUGGCGUGCGGGUGACUGUUUAUGGCUUGAAAGAAGACUUUAAAACCUGCUGUGUUACCGUAAACAAUUCAGGCCGAACCAAAGGUGGUGUGGGAAAUGGUAGGGAGCGUUUGUGGGCUGAAGAAGCUGUUUUCGUGAUGAGGAUGACCCUGGUGCGGGGCCGGGGCGGCCGCUGGUCUCAACGCGGAUCUUAUCUGUGACCUGAAAUGUGCAUCUUAGUAACUUAUGAUAAAAUAAAUAGUAUAAACAGGCAAGUUUUCUACACCCACAGAAGUUGAUGGCAAACUUGUGGAUCUUUUCGAGAAAUUAGGAGACGGCCUUUUAUAUGGGAACAUAUGGUGUUUCCUACGUUACAAGCCUGUGUGCUUUGUUCAGAGGAAAGCCCGUCGCUC
This 1140-nucleotide long non-coding RNA is filed under the name Suricata suricatta (meerkat). RNAcentral's name for it is "lncRNA (ENSSSUG00005009874.1)". Lineage: Eukaryota; Metazoa; Chordata; Mammalia; Carnivora; Herpestidae. The record is from RNAcentral.